UACGUAGGUGGCAAGCGUUGUCCGGAUUUACUGGGCGUAAAGAGCGCGCAGGCGGUCGUUCAAGUCGCGUGUGAAAGCCCCCGGCUCAACUGGGGAGGGUCACGCGAUACUGAUCGACUCGAAGGCAGGAGAGGGUAGUGGAAUUCCCGGUGUAGUGGUGAAAUGCGUAGAUAUCGGGAGGAACACCAGUGGCGAAGGCAGCUCACUGGGACGGUACUGACGCUGAGACGCGAAAGCGUGGGGAGCAAACAGG
Molecule: ribosomal RNA, 253 nt
Filed under: uncultured bacterium
Lineage: Bacteria
Description: partial 16S ribosomal RNA
Rfam family: Bacterial small subunit ribosomal RNA
Source: RNAcentral